AUCGAGGUUAAAGGUACCCGUACCGCAAACCGACACAGGUGGGUGAGGAGAGUAUCCUAAGGCCAGCGAGAGAACUGUUGUUAAGGAACUCGGCAAAAUGACCCCGUAACUUAGGGAUAAGGGGUGCCACCAUCAGGUGGCCGCAGAGAAUAGGCCCAAGCGACUGUUUACCAAAAACAUAGGUUUCUGCUAAGUCGCAAGACGAUGUAUAGGAGCUGACGCCUGCCCGGUGCUGGAAGGUUAAGGGGAUCUGUUAGAGCAAUCGAAGCAGUGAACUUAAGCCCCAGUAAACGGCGGCCGUAACUAUAACGGUCCUAAGGUAGCGAAAUUCCUUGUCGGGUAAGUUCCGACCCGCACGAAAGGCGUAACGAUUUGGGCACUGUCUCAACAACAGACUCGGUGAAAUUGUAAUUCCGGUGAAGAUGCCGGAUACCUGCGACAGGACGGAAAGACCCCAUGGAGCUUUACUGUAGCUUGACAUUGGGUCUUGGUACUACAUGUACAGGAUAGGUGGGAGGCUUUGAAACCAGGACGCCAGUUUUGGCGGAGCCAUCCUUGGGAUACCACCCUUGUAGUACUGG
RNAcentral lists this ribosomal RNA (581 nucleotides) under Clostridioides difficile. RNAcentral's name for it is "bacterial LSU rRNA". It matches the Rfam family "Bacterial large subunit ribosomal RNA", at positions 1625 to 2217 of the family's 2925-position model. Lineage: Bacteria; Bacillati; Bacillota; Clostridia; Peptostreptococcales; Peptostreptococcaceae. The record is from RNAcentral.